RNAcentral lists this ribosomal RNA (448 nucleotides) under uncultured bacterium. Its description in RNAcentral is "bacterial SSU rRNA". It matches the Rfam family "Bacterial small subunit ribosomal RNA", at positions 330 to 794 of the family's 1533-position model. The record is from RNAcentral.
UCCAGACUCCUACGGGAGGCAGCAGUGGGGGAUAUUGCACAAUGGGGGGAACCCUGAUGCAGCGACGCCGCGUGGGUGAAGGAGCGUUUCGGCGCGUAAAGCCCUAUCGGCAGGGAAGAAGGAGGACGGUACCUGACUAAGAAGCCCCGGCUAACUACGUGCCAGCAGCCGCGGUAAUACGUAGGGGGCAAGCGUUAUCCGGAUUUACUGGGUGUAAAGGGGGCGCAGACGGCAGCGCAAGCCAGGAGUGAAAGCCCGGGGCCCAACCCCGGGACUGCUCUUGGAACUGCGCGGCUGGAGUGCAGGAGGGGCAGGCGGAAUUCCUGGUGUAGCGGUGAAAUGCGUAGAUAUCAGGAGGAACACCGGUGGCGAAGGCGGCCUGCUGGACUGCGACUGACGUUGAGGCCCGAAAGCGUGGGGAGCAAACAGGAUUAGAUACCCCUGUACA